Pelotomaculum thermopropionicum SI is the source of this 156-nucleotide non-coding RNA. The record is from Rfam. NCBI's taxonomy places the organism in Bacteria, Bacillati, Bacillota, Clostridia, Eubacteriales, Desulfotomaculaceae.
UUGCGUAGCGUCGUUAGGUGAACUUGGCGAAACUGAGGUUGCGGAAUUGGGGGCGCGGACAGGACGUCCGCGCCAGCCCUCACCGGGCCAGGACGGUGAGUUGAGGGCGGCCCAAUUCCGCCCGAAGUGAGCCGUAGUUCACCCGACGCGAAGCAU